This 470-nucleotide ribosomal RNA is filed under the name uncultured bacterium. RNAcentral's name for it is "bacterial SSU rRNA". It matches the Rfam family "Bacterial small subunit ribosomal RNA", at positions 28 to 519 of the family's 1533-position model. The record is from RNAcentral.
GACGAACGCUGGCGGCGUGCCUAACACAUGCAAGUCGAACGGAGCAGAGACUUCGGUUUUGCUUAGUGGCGAACGGGUGAGUAACGCGUGAGAAACCUGCCUUUCAGUGGGGGACAACAGUUGGAAACGACUGCUAAUACCGCAUAAUGUAACGAGAUCGCAUGGUCUUGUUACCAAAGCUUUAUGUGCUGAAAGAUGGUCUCGCGUCUGAUUAGCUAGUUGGUGAGGUAACGGCUCACCAAGGCGACGAUCAGUAGCCGGUCUGAGAGGAUGAACGGCCACAUUGGGACUGAGAUACGGCCCAGACUCCUACGGGAGGCAGCAGUGGGAAUAUUGGGCAAUGGGGGAAACCCUGACCCAGCAACGCCGCGUGAAGGAAGAAGGCCUUCGGGUUGUAAACGUUCUUUUACCUAGGGACGAAGAACGUGACGGUACCUGGAGAAAAAGACGGGAAACGCGUAACUAACGUG